RNAcentral lists this ribosomal RNA (253 nucleotides) under uncultured bacterium. Its description in RNAcentral is "partial 16S ribosomal RNA". It matches the Rfam family "Bacterial small subunit ribosomal RNA", at positions 524 to 776 of the family's 1533-position model. The record is from RNAcentral.
UACGUAGGGUGCAAGCGUUGUCCGGAAUUAUUGGGCGUAAAGAGCUCGUAGGCGGUCUGUCACGUCGGACGUGAAAAUCCAGGGCUCAACCCUGGACCUGCGUUCGAUACGGGCAGACUAGAGUUCGGUAGGGGAGACUGGAAUUCCUGGUGUAGCGGUGAAAUGCGCAGAUAUCAGGAAGAACACCUAUGGCGAAGGCAGCUCUCUGGGACGGUACUGACGCUGAGACGCGAAAGCGUGGGGAGCGAACAGG